This 397-nucleotide ribosomal RNA is filed under the name uncultured Terriglobales bacterium. RNAcentral's name for it is "bacterial SSU rRNA". It matches the Rfam family "Bacterial small subunit ribosomal RNA", at positions 491 to 887 of the family's 1533-position model. Lineage: Bacteria; Pseudomonadati; Acidobacteriota; Terriglobia; Terriglobales. The record is from RNAcentral.
CUCCGGCUAACUCCGUGCCAGCAGCCGCGGUAAUACGGAGGGAGCAAACGUUGUUCGGAUUUACUGGGUGUAAAGGGUGCGUAGGCGGCUAUGUGUGUCAGAGGUGAAAUCCCACGGCUCAACCGUGGAAUUGCCUUUGAAACUGCAUGGCUUGAGUCCGAGAGAGGAAGACGGAAUUCCUGGUGUAACGGUGAAAUGUGCAGAUAUCAGGAAGAACACCGGUGGCGAAGGCGGUCUUCUGGCUCGGUACUGACGCUGAGGCACGAAAGCUAGGGUAUCAAACGGGAUUAGAUACCCCGGUAGUCCUANCCGUAAACGAUGUCAACUAGGUGUCGGGGGUCCUACCCCCUCGGUGCCGCAGCUAACGCAUUAAGUUGACCACCUGGGGAGUACGCUC